This is a transfer RNA of Felis catus (domestic cat), 85 nucleotides long. It matches the Rfam family "tRNA". Rfam says of the family: Transfer RNA (tRNA) molecules are approximately 80 nucleotides in length. NCBI's taxonomy places the organism in Eukaryota, Metazoa, Chordata, Mammalia, Carnivora, Felidae. The record is from Rfam.
GCCUGGGUGGCUCAGUCAGUUGAGCAUCUGACUUCAGCUCAGGUCACAAUCUCGUGGUCCACGGGUUCGAGCCCCGCGUCGGGCU